GGGGAAUUUUCCGCAAUGGGCGAAAGCCUGACGGAGCAAUACCGCGUGAGGGAGGAAGGCUCUUGGGUUGUAAACCUCUUUUCUCAGGGNAAUAAGAACUGAAGGUACCUGAGGAAUCAGCAUCGGCUAACUCCGUGCCAGCAGCCGCGGUAAUACGGAGGAUGCAAGCGUUAUCCGGAAUGAUUGGGCGUAAAGCGUCCGCAGGUGGUUUAUCAAGUCUGCUGUCAAAGAGUUUGGCUCAACCAAAUAAAGGCAGUGGAAACUGACAGACUGGAGUGCGGUAAGGGCAGAGGGAAUUCCUGGUGUAGCGGUGAAAUGCGUAGAGAUCAGGAAGAGCACCGGUGGCGAAAGCGCUCUGCUGGGCCGUAACUGACACUGAGGGACGAAAGCUAGGGGAGCGAAUGGGAUUAGAUACCCCAGNUAGUC
This 426-nucleotide ribosomal RNA is filed under the name uncultured cyanobacterium. Its description in RNAcentral is "bacterial SSU rRNA". It matches the Rfam family "Bacterial small subunit ribosomal RNA", at positions 356 to 795 of the family's 1533-position model. Lineage: Bacteria; Bacillati; Cyanobacteriota. The record is from RNAcentral.